AGAAGUGCUGUCAGCAUUGCUGCAGAGAUUGAAGAGGUGGGGGGUCAGCCUGAGCUCAGAGCAUAUGCCAAACUCUACAUCAAAUUGGUGUGCAUGGCUGUCACCCCAGGAGGAAGCCUCUUCUGAAGACGUGAAACACCAUGGUCCUACACCAACCCCUACGCCGACGGCAACAAGCAGAUCUUCGUCUACUUUGACCCCGUGAACCUUAGGAAGAUGGUGCUGCCCAGGUGUCCUGGGGCUGAAGAGUCUGAGAGGAUGAGGAUGGCCCGAUUCUCGAGCCUCAAGGUCCUGGCCAGGUGGGAGAACUACAAGUCUGUCAAGGCCGGCUUCAAGUUGACCCAGAAGGUCCUGGGUGUUCUUUGAUCGAGAAGCAGAGCGUCGGAAUCAUCAUGGCGGUCAACCCCAACACGGUCGCACGGGCAAGAAGGAACACAGGGACACACAGGGCUGACACCCUGGAGAUGUUCCAGAGAACAAGGGAGACCUGGAGACGGGCCGAGCGGUCCUCAAGCGGCCAUCUCUCCCCAUGGCCCACAUGGCGUCCUUCGGAAUGUCGCUGUGGGACUUCCUGAUGUGCAGGAAGCACAGGAGCACACUGCUAGAGUUCCUGGUUGUCCCUCUUCAACUGUUUUAGUGUGAACUUCUCCAAGGAUGUGACUUCAGAAGCGAGGAAGAACAAGGCCUUGGAGUGGCUGGCCGGCAUGAAAAGGAGCAGAAUCGAGGAGGGCAGAAAGGAGACGGCAAGGAACAGGGACUUGUACAAGUCGAGGUGACAGGCAUAGAAAAAGGCUAUGUAAUUGUUGAAAGACGAGGCUCACAUCCUGGUAACACCACAUCGAUUAUUUGCACUGUCUGAAUUAUAGGAAUAUCUCAUAUGCAUUUUAUAUUUAUGUUUAUUUAGAUUUUAUACUUGCACGUCACUUUUGAGAUUUUAACUCAUCCUGCACUGUAAAGGGAUGCUCCACAAUUUCAUUGUAUAAC
Corythoichthys intestinalis (scribbled pipefish) is the source of this 984-nucleotide long non-coding RNA. RefSeq lists it as uncharacterized. The record is from RefSeq and is a predicted model, not a curated record. NCBI's taxonomy places the organism in Eukaryota, Metazoa, Chordata, Actinopteri, Syngnathiformes, Syngnathidae. The transcript has 3 exons.